Molecule: ribosomal RNA, 253 nt
Filed under: uncultured bacterium
Lineage: Bacteria
Description: partial 16S ribosomal RNA
Rfam family: Bacterial small subunit ribosomal RNA
Source: RNAcentral
UACGUAGGGGGCAAGCGUUGUCCGGAAUCAUUGGGCGUAAAGCGCGUGUAGGCGGCUCGAUAAGUCUGCUGUGAAAGUCCAGGGCUCAACCCUGGGAUGCCGGUGGAUACUGUCGAGCUCGAGUCCGGAAGAGGCGAGUGGAAUUCCUGGUGUAGCGGUGAAAUGCGCAGAUAUCAGGAGGAACACCAAUGGCGAAGGCAGCUCGCUGGGACGGUACUGACGCUGAGACGCGAAAGCAUGGGGAGCGAACAGG